AGCCCCGUCGUCUAGCGGUCAAGGAUGCUGGGCUUUGGACCCAGUGACGGCGGUUCGAAUCCGCCCGGGGCUA
RNAcentral lists this transfer RNA (73 nucleotides) under Nanobdellota archaeon. RNAcentral's name for it is "tRNA-Gln". It matches the Rfam family "tRNA". Rfam says of the family: Transfer RNA (tRNA) molecules are approximately 80 nucleotides in length. Their secondary structure includes four short double-helical elements and three loops (D, anti-codon, and T loops). Lineage: Archaea; Nanobdellati; Nanobdellota. RNAcentral also lists the same sequence under 1 other name. The record is from RNAcentral.